GACGAACGCUGGCGGCGUGCUUAACACAUGCAAGUCGAACGGAAAGGCCUGCUUUCCCUUGUGGAUUGCGGGUACUCGCGUGGCGAACGGGUGAGUAACACGUGAGUGAUCUGCCCCCAACUUGGGUAUAAGCCUGGGAAACUGGGUCUAAUUCCCGAUAGUACUGCAGGGUGGUGCCUGUGGUGGAAAACGAUUUUCUAGUGGUUGGGGAUGAGCUCGCGGCCUAUCAGCUUGUUGGUGGGGUAAUGGCCUACCAAGGCGGCGACGGGUAGCCGGCCUGGGACGGCCGACCGGCGACUUGGGACUGAGAUACGGCCCAGACGCCGACGGGAGGCAGCAGUGGGGAGUAUUGGACGGUGGGCGGACGCCUGAUGCCGCGACGCCGCGUGGGGGAUGACGGCCUUCGGGUUGUAAACUCCUUUCGAGCGCGAGGAAGCCACCUGGUUGGAAGGGUGGUGACGGUAGUGGUAGAAGAAGCACCGGCUAACUACGUG
This 494-nucleotide ribosomal RNA is filed under the name uncultured bacterium. Its description in RNAcentral is "partial 16S ribosomal RNA". It matches the Rfam family "Bacterial small subunit ribosomal RNA", at positions 28 to 507 of the family's 1533-position model. The record is from RNAcentral.